This 57-nucleotide transfer RNA is filed under the name Bulla sp. TLT-2006. RNAcentral describes it as "tRNA-Leu". Lineage: Eukaryota; Metazoa; Mollusca; Gastropoda; Cephalaspidea; Bullidae. The record is from RNAcentral.
AGAUGGCAGACAAAAUGCCUAGACUUUAAGCGUCUAUCAUACCAUCUAGGUUCUUUC